GAUGAACGCUGGCGGCGUGCCUAAUACAUGCAAGUCGAGCGAACGGACGAGAAGCUUGCUUCUCUGAUGUUAGCGGCGGACGGGUGAGUAACACGUGGAUAACCUACCUAUAAGACUGGGAUAACUUCGGGAAACCGGAGCUAAUACCGGAUGAUAUUUUGAACCGCAUGGUUCAAAAGUGAAAGACGGUCUUGCUGUCACUUAUAGAUGGAUCCCGGCUUCAUUAGCUAGUUGGUAAGGUAACGGCUUACCAAGGCAACGAUGCAUAGCCGACCUGAGGGGGGGAUCGGCCACACUGGAGCUGAGACACGGUCCAGACUCCUACGGGAGGCAGCAGUAGGGAAUCUUCGGCAAUGGGCGAAAGCCUGACGGAGCAACGCCGCGUGAGUGAUGAAGGUCUUCGGAUCGUAAAACUCUGUUAUUAGGGAAGAACAUAUGUGGAAGUAAAUGUGCACAUCUUGACGGUACCUAAUCAGAAAGCCACGGCUAACUACGUG
RNAcentral lists this ribosomal RNA (497 nucleotides) under uncultured bacterium. RNAcentral's name for it is "partial 16S ribosomal RNA". It matches the Rfam family "Bacterial small subunit ribosomal RNA", at positions 28 to 507 of the family's 1533-position model. The record is from RNAcentral.